RNAcentral lists this long non-coding RNA (545 nucleotides) under Olea europaea subsp. europaea. The record is from RNAcentral. Lineage: Eukaryota; Viridiplantae; Streptophyta; Magnoliopsida; Lamiales; Oleaceae.
CGCAUACAAGAUUAAUCAAGAAUUGUGAGAAUUUACUAAAUCACGUGUCUUGAAUUAAAAUAAACAAUAACGAUUUUAUCUUCAUCCAAUACAUGAGAAAAUUAGCCUAGCAUAAUGUUGGAAUUAAACAAAGAAAGUUUAGACGACAUCACCAAGAAAUUGACGAAACGCGAUUAAAUCCAAAAGUAUUCUCGACUUUGCCCAUGUGUGUAUUUUUCUUCAACUUUGACUGAUUGUUUUCUUCUCAAAACUGCCUCUUUCAAUUGUGUGUAUAAAGAAUUAAUUCUACAGCAAGCAGCCCCUUCUCUUUGUCUCGAGUAGCAUGUAUGGAAAAUAUAUCAACUCCAAGGAGACGUCUUUUCUCUCUAUAUGAAUUCCCCUUAGUUGGCAUGUGAUAAUCUCCGGCACCUACCAACGUUUUUCUUCAAAACCAAUUCCGAUUGUUUUGUGGGCCGCCGUUUUGUUUAUGUAAUUUUCCCAAGAUUUGUAGUCACCUUCUCUCGUCCCUUCUUUACUGCACACACACACACACACAUAUAUAUAUA